AAAAAGAACCAUUUCACCCUGAACUCACCAUGAAAAGUGGUGGCAGUAUUAUGCUGUGGAGCUGGUCAGAAUUAGCAGGAAGAUAAAUGGYGAUAACCAGAAAGCAUUCCUGGAUGAAAACCUGUCAGAAGUUGCCACUGACUUAAAACUGAGGAGGAGCUUCUCUUAAAACCACAACCCCAAGCACUGACAACACUAGACUCGUUUAAAUUACAUUUGUGUGUUUGAAUGGCCCAGUCAAAGUCCAGAUAUAAAUCAAACUGAAAAUCUGAAGCAAAAGUUGAGAACUGAUGUUCGCACAUGUUGUGUAUCCAUUCAGAUUGAGCUUGGCUAAAAAAAUGGGCAAAAUUUUCGCUUACUAGAGGCGGGAAGCUGUUAGAGACACAACCCAAAACAUCUUCAACUACAGCAAAAGUUGAGUCUGCAAAGUUUUCAUUCAGARGGGUGGAAUACAGCUGUAAGCCRUAAUUUAAAGAUUUUUAUAUAAAAAAAGGAAAACAAUAGUCCCUUUUCUUUCUCCUUCACAAUUUUGCAAUAUUUGUGUAGAGUUACCACAUAUGAACCAUAAGGUUCACCUAAUAGAAAACCUGUAAAUACAACACGUAAGUUUGUGAUGAAUACAGCACUUAAAGAGAGAAACAGGCAUUUAGCCUCACCUCUCUUCUUGUGUAUAAAAACAUAAAGAAGCCACAUAUGAAAAAAAAAACAACAAGAAGAUGCUGGUGAAUUAUUAUAUCUGUUGCACGGCUUAUAUGCUGCAUUAUAUUUUUCAUCAGUUUAGCCAGAUAUUAUAAUAAUCUCUAACAAAGGUCAAAGGUGUUCAACACAUCUCAUCCUCUUCUGCUGGCAUUUAUCCAAUUAUAUAAGUCAAUAUGAGUGCAGUCUGGACACAAUAGAUUCGGUGUGUCACACUGAAAGUAAAAUGCCAAGAGAGGAGACCCAGGGGAUUUACUGUCAUCUGCUUUUAUACUAAUGGAGUAAUUGUAUUGGCUUUUUGUCUUAGAAACAGGACAAGCUGUAUUUUCCAGAUGUUCAGUAACAAGUGCAUUUCAUUUAGCUUCCUGUUUAUGCAAACAAAUAGCAUAAGCUUGAAUUAUACAGCCACAGACAGAACAACGUAAGAUGAGAGCAGAAAUUAUUUUAAAAAUGAAAUGCCUCAAUAAAUAGAGAGAGAGCUCAAAAGGGCGACACAYUGCUGGUUAAAUGAAGCCCCAUAUGUUUAAUCCUUACAAGCCUCCGUCUUAAUCUUUUUUCAACAAAUCAUUGAAAAUGUAAGUUUAACUUUCAUUCUUAUGUUAGAACAGCAAACAAACAAGAAAUCGUCAAGGCGCCAACGUAAUUUUGAAACUAUACAAUUUAUCUUUGAGAAGUCUGACUCAGAGUUAGAACCUCUUUUUGAAAUAAAAGUGCAAAUGACAAACUAAACUUCAAAACAAAACUUAUAGCUAGAAAGGAGAGACAACUGGAACCUCUUGGGUAUGGAAUGGAAAAAUUCCCAUGACAUUGCUGCUGGUGGCGGAUCUACAACUGCGAUUACUCCUUCUGUCAGUACAAGUAAAACCAGAGGAGCUGUUACAUGAACUACUACUACAGCAGUUAGGUUCGGUCAUAAAAGCUCCAAGUUGCAAUCCUUCAUAAAAAAAAAAACUUAACAGACCUGGUGAACCAGGUAGCUCUGGAAAAUAUAAGACCGAUGCAACUUUUUGCCAUCAGCAUCUCUACACGAAUGACAUUAUAUUCUAGGGUUUUUGUUCAAUUGCAACACUGAUCAUCUGAACCCAGAGCAUUGUGAAAGUCUGCCAAGACUCAUGUUACUCCAUCCAAAAUUAAUUUUUAAACUCUUACUURGCUUAAACAUCAGGGUUGUGUUUUAAAAGUGAAUAUAAGUUUUUAGCAAUAUUUGAGGUCUGAAACCACUUCUUUUGUUUUUUGUGAAUAAAUGCCAGAAACUGGAUUUCUAUUUGGUAGGAGCGAUGUCAGUUUAUUGAAUAAAAUAAAAAAUAUAAAUUAA
Long non-coding RNA from Poecilia reticulata (guppy), 2011 nucleotides. RefSeq lists it as uncharacterized. The record is from RefSeq and is a predicted model, not a curated record. Lineage: Eukaryota; Metazoa; Chordata; Actinopteri; Cyprinodontiformes; Poeciliidae.